Molecule: long non-coding RNA, 383 nt
Organism: Lolium rigidum
Lineage: Eukaryota; Viridiplantae; Streptophyta; Magnoliopsida; Poales; Poaceae
Exons: 4
Source: RefSeq, a predicted model, not a curated record
CGAGUACUCCUUGAUGUCAGAGAAUCCAACAUAACUAAGGAGUGAUUUGACAAAGUUCUGAAAGCUGGUUCUAAUGUUGUAUUUACCACCAGGGGAAUUGAUGAUAUGUCUUUGAAGAGCUAUGAAGUAGUAGCCGCCUGUCGCUCUUCUCGAUGAUGGUGAUAAUGCAAGGUAGCGGUGGCCUGUUAAUAUCAAGACCCAUGACGCAGUGAUGCGAAAAUGUUCAAGCAACUCACUCAAGAGCAUGGUGUUUACUCUGGCAGUGAGAAAAUCCAAGAUCUUGUCUUGGCUAAAAGAGAGUUAUGUGGAUGGUGUUCCUCCCACUGAGCAGCAUACAAUGGUAUCUUCUGGUGUUUUUACAGAAGAGAGUUGAGUGAGAAAUG